This 96-nucleotide non-coding RNA is filed under the name Prosthecochloris sp. GSB1. RNAcentral describes it as "Chlorobium bathyomarinum TPP riboswitch aptamer (THI element)". It matches the Rfam family "TPP riboswitch aptamer (THI element)". Rfam says of the family: Vitamin B(1) in its active form thiamin pyrophosphate (TPP) is an essential coenzyme that is synthesised by coupling of pyrimidine and thiazole moieties in bacteria. RNAcentral also lists the same sequence under 1 other name. Lineage: Bacteria; Pseudomonadati; Chlorobiota; Chlorobiia; Chlorobiales; Chlorobiaceae. The record is from Rfam by way of RNAcentral.
UGUUUCGCUCCGGGGUGCUGCUGGAUGCGGCUGAGAUCACACCCGUAUAACUUGAUGCAGGUAAUACUGACGCAAGGAAGAAAGUUGAAACGCCUU